This 253-nucleotide ribosomal RNA is filed under the name uncultured bacterium. RNAcentral describes it as "partial 16S ribosomal RNA". It matches the Rfam family "Bacterial small subunit ribosomal RNA", at positions 524 to 776 of the family's 1533-position model. The record is from RNAcentral.
UACGUAGGGGGCAAGCGUUGUCCGGAAUCAUUGGGCGUAAAGAGCGUGUAGGCGGCUCGGUAAGUCGGCUGUGAAAGUCCAGGGCUCAACCCUGGGAUGCCGGUCGAUACUGCCGGACUAGAGUUCGGGAGAGGCGAGUGGAAUUCCCGGUGUAGCGGUGAAAUGCGCAGAUAUCGGGAGGAACACCUAUGGCGAAGGCAGCUCGCUGGGACGUUACUGACGCUGAGACGCGAAAGCGUGGGGAGCAAACAGG